RNAcentral lists this ribosomal RNA (253 nucleotides) under uncultured bacterium. RNAcentral describes it as "partial 16S ribosomal RNA". It matches the Rfam family "Bacterial small subunit ribosomal RNA", at positions 524 to 776 of the family's 1533-position model. The record is from RNAcentral.
UACGUAGGGGGCAAGCGUUGUCCGGAUUUAUUGGGCGUAAAGAGCGUGUAGGCGGCUUUGCAAGUCCGUUGUGAAAACUCGAGGCUCAACCUCGAGACGCCGGUGGAAACUGCAAAGCUAGAGUCCGGAAGAGGAGAGUGGAAUUCCUGGUGUAGCGGUGAAAUGCGCAGAUAUCAGGAAGAACACCCGUGGCGAAGGCGGCUCUCUGGGACGGUACUGACGCUGAGACGCGAAAGCGUGGGGAGCGAUCCGG